AGUAAAAGUACUCCAGUCACCAGCCCCGAGCGGGGAACACCCGGCACAGGUGGGCCUCCUGGCAAAGGGGCGCUUGGAUCUGCAAAGACGCCUCCAUUUUCCCACUGCCCAGGGCCAGGCGCUACCAGCAUGGACACACCUCGGUGCCAGCUUCAAAGCCAGGCCCUGCCCCCAAGGCUAUUUGCAGAUCACCCAUCACCCCGUGCCAGCACAGCCCUCCCAGUUCUGGGCCAGCGGUAAACCUCGAAGCGUGUCAACUAGAGGGCAGUGAGGAGGCCAGGUGGAAAGGGAGGAGGGCCUCGGGGAAUCAGGGCAGCAGGUGGUGCUGGUGGGGAACAAUCCGUGGUCCGAGAGACUGUGAGCCGCCCAAGUCACUGUCCGGAUGUGAGGCGCGGGCAGCUGCCGAGAAGGACUGCUCACGCCCAGAACAGGAACCUCUCUACUGAACAACUGCAGGCUCUGUCAAUCAAGGUCUAAUACCCAAGUGAGACCCAGCUGGAAAUACCUGCCUCGUAUCUCUGGCAUUGCUGGAGUAGUGACCCUGGCCAUGGACCCCAGAGGGAGAAGAAUGGGCCUGGUGGAGGGAACUAUGAAGGGGCAGGUUGCAGCUCUGCAGCAGGAAGAACAUCCACAUGGUUGCUGCUGUCCUCAGGUGAAAUGAGAGGCCACAUGGACUGUAAGUCCCCCUUCACUGAACUCAGGCAAGCAAGUUCUGCAUGAUGACUAGCCUGGAACAGUCGAGUCCUAGGAGAUGGAUGAGAUGACCUUCAAUGUGCCUUCCAGCCUUAAGGAUUUAGGAAUUUCUU
Long non-coding RNA from Zalophus californianus (California sea lion), 806 nucleotides. RefSeq lists it as uncharacterized. The transcript is spliced from 3 exons. Lineage: Eukaryota; Metazoa; Chordata; Mammalia; Carnivora; Otariidae. The record is from RefSeq and is a predicted model, not a curated record.